Molecule: transfer RNA, 26 nt
Filed under: Pennahia argentata (silver croaker)
Lineage: Eukaryota; Metazoa; Chordata; Actinopteri; Sciaenidae
Description: partial tRNA-Pro
Source: RNAcentral
CAAAAAAUAGUUUAAUCAGAAUACUA